Molecule: unclassified non-coding RNA, 377 nt
Filed under: uncultured Gammaproteobacteria bacterium
Lineage: Bacteria; Pseudomonadati; Pseudomonadota; Gammaproteobacteria
Description: contains 16S-23S intergenic spacer region
Source: RNAcentral
UCCGGCUUAGCACCGGCAGUCCUGUUAGAGUUCCCAACUAAAUGAUGGCAACUAACAGCAAGGGUUGCGCUCGUUGCGGGACUUAACCCAACAUUUCACGACACGAGCUGACGACGGCCAUGCAGCACCUGUGUAUCGGCUCCCUUUCGGGCACCCCCACAUCUCUGCAGGGUUCCGACCAUGUCAAGGGUAGGUAAGGUUGUUCGCGUUGCAUCGAAUUAAUCCACAUCAUCCACCGCUUGUGCGGGUCCCCGUCAAUUCCUUUGAGUUUUAACCUUGCGGCCGUACUCCCCAGGCGGUCAACUUCACGCGUUAGCUACGGUACUGAGAAAUCGCUUCCCCAACACCCAGUUGACAUCGUUUAGGGCGUGGACUAC